GCAUAACAUAAAACUUUCAAUUUCAAUCAAAGCAAGUUUGCGGAAACACAUCUUGAAAAUUCGUAUUAAACGGGAGAAAAUUACAUCCUUUUUCAAUAAUAUGAAGCGACCACGAAGAGCGGAGAUUCCUGACUCAACCAGUGUUGAGGUUCCUGGUUCAUUAUACCGAUAGGCCAACAAUCGAUACCACAACAAUUACCUGCUGUCAUCAAGAGAGAUUGAUCGCUAAGCAAGAAGCUAAACUUUGCAACAACAAAAAUAAUUGUUUUAACAAAUAAAUACAUAAAUUCAGACCAUCAGA
Molecule: long non-coding RNA, 301 nt
Organism: Musca domestica (house fly)
Lineage: Eukaryota; Metazoa; Arthropoda; Insecta; Diptera; Muscidae
Exons: 2
Source: RefSeq, a predicted model, not a curated record